GACGAACGCUGGCGGCGUGCUUAACACAUGCAAGUCGAACGGAAAGGCCCUGCUUUUGUGGGGUACUCGAGUGGCGAACGGGUGAGUAACACGUGAGUAACCUGCCCUUGACUUUGGGAUAACUUCAGGAAACUGGGGCUAAUACCGGAUAGGAGCUCCUGCUGCAUGGUGGGGGUUGGAUAGUUUCGGCGGUUGGGGAUGGACUCGCGGCUUAUCAGCUUGUUGGUGGGGUAGUGGCUUACCAAGGCUUUGACGGGUAGCCGGCCUGAGAGGGUGACCGGCCACAUUGGGACUGAGAUACGGCCCAGACUCCUACGGGAGGCAGCAGUGGGGAAUAUUGCACAAUGGGCGGAAGCCUGAUGCAGCAACGCCGCGUGCGGGAUGACGGCCUUCGGGUUGUAAACCGCUUUCGCCUGUGACGAAGCGUGAGUGACGGUAAUGGGUAAAGAAGCACCGGCUAACUACGUG
Molecule: ribosomal RNA, 468 nt
Filed under: uncultured bacterium
Lineage: Bacteria
Description: partial 16S ribosomal RNA
Rfam family: Bacterial small subunit ribosomal RNA
Source: RNAcentral